RNAcentral lists this small RNA (337 nucleotides) under Oryza sativa Japonica Group (Japanese rice). Its description in RNAcentral is "sRNA Os08g0178000". Lineage: Eukaryota; Viridiplantae; Streptophyta; Magnoliopsida; Poales; Poaceae. The record is from RNAcentral.
GAUUCAGAUGGUCAGACCCAACGACUCGAAUGUGGGGCAAGUUUCACCAAGUUUACAGUUAGCCAGCAUGUUUGCUAGCUUGAACUGCAAUGCUGACAUGGUAAUUUCAGUGGGAGGAGAUAGUCUCUAAAUUUCUGUGUAAUGGCGUAGGGAUGAAUGAUUAGAACUGGAGGCUAGCAAUUAUGCUCGUUCCCAGUAGCAAUACUACAGAACUGUUAACUAUUUUUGAGCCAAUAUGAGGUGAUGCAGCGAGUAGAUCCGUGUAACGAGGUACAGAUUGAGAUUGGCAGUAUAACAAAAUACAAAGGGAUACUGCAGCUAUUUCUGUUGCCUGUUC